AUAAAUAUAAAUAUACAUGUAUACAGGUACGAACACAUAUAUAUGUAUAUGUAUAUUAUAUAUAUAUUAUAUAUCAGCACUCGGUAGAUAUAGGUACACCCAUAAAUUUACCUAUACUACCUAGACGUAAGAGAAGAUUCUAUUGAAACGCAUUCGAAACGAAAGGAGAAGAUCGUGUAAUGUCCAUACAAUUAGAGAAGAAACGACGGAGUCGAGGGGGUCCGGGAGAAUGGACGGUGUUGCGAUUUACGCGAUUAGGGGACGAAUAUUAUAUACUACAAAAUAGUAUUAGACUUUUAGAUCUGCGAGCGUGCGAUUGCGUGCAACGAACGAGAGCGUGUGAAUCGUUUGAGUGAGAGAGUGCAUGGAAUCUACCGUGGUCUGUAUUUUAUUGUGGAAGUUCCUGUUCCUCGAGAGAGAGAGAGAGAGAGAGAGAGAGAGAGAGAGAGAGAGAGAGAGAGAGAGAGAGAGAGAGAGAGAGAGAGAGAGAAGGUUGAUCAAGAGAGAACUGUACAUGUGAUCUGAUAUGUAAUUAUUAUAUGCGGUGGACAUAUGUACACCGACGGCAUAACGAAUCCAAUGAGUUUCUGUAGAUGAAUUGGUUCUCAAUUGAUAUGGUGGAAUGAUGUCGCUCGGUCUGACCAUUUUUAUUCGGGCUAGUGUUCAACACCAGAUGUGUACAUGUAUUUACUAGAUUGUGCGAACUCGUCGAUAAUCAAGUUGAAUAGUAGUUUAGAAUAAGUUUAGCAAAACUCUCUGAACUGCCAUUCAAGCCGAACAAAAAAUAAUAAGUAGAAUAUCGAAUUUCGUUUGAAGCCGUUCGAAAUGCUUGCAUUGUGGGUGACAUAGCCGGAAAAGAGGAUCCCUCGAGUGGACAGUAUGAGAUCUCUCCUGAGUGUGUGCCCUUUUUGUAUCGUUUUACGGUCUUCUUCAUUUUUUUACAGUCGUUCUGCUUACAAAUGCACGACGUUGCCGAUUCGGAUCUCGGAUAAACGAUAAUUAGCAAUCGGCAGAAAAGAAAAGAAAGGCGACGACCUAAGAAAAUGAAGCUGACCCUAGAUACUUCGAACAGCAGAGACAAGCGCGAUGUUCAUUUGCUUGGAAGGAUCAUCGUACGACACACAAGCGUGUAACGCAAGUUUUUUUAUCGAUACACCUAACGCUAUUUUGCAAGCUUUUUUGCAAACGACAGUUCCGAUUAAUACGGCUGCAUCUUUAUGCAAAAGAAGUUCGUAAAAAGAGGUAUACAAUAGCAUUUCAAGAAUUGAAUUUUUAUAGUUUUCGCCGGUAAGUUUAUUCCGAUACGUGUCGGCCCCGAAAUGUUCAUCGUUUUUCUUACGGUCUAUUUCAGGUAGAAUAACGACUAUUUGACUAAUAAGCAUCAAUAGCGAUCGAACCGGUACCACCACCCUGCGUCAUCGAAGCAUUGCACCCUACCAAUUGAGGGUCGAUUAUCGUUCCCGCGAUCGAAUUCGUCGGUACGCAACGCGCUUCACCACGUUGUCCACAUCGCCGCAGCUGUACCUUUCUGUUUCUUUCUCGCAUCCGGCGAGCACGAUUCGAGAGGCAUGGAUCCAUUGUAAAUAAAAUGUCGAAACCAGAUAGAAAGUGACUGAAACGGAAUUAACUAAGAGAAUAUAGUACGGUUAAGUGGGGAGACACGAUUAGAGCAGGAGAGAGACUGCGCGAAUGGGAACGACAAAAUAGUUGCGAAAAUGCGUGAAAGUGUGUGAGUGGGUGUUUUAAGUUAUACUCUAAAUGAAUUCGUUAAGUCGGAAACUUUGAGAAUUGCUCGCGUCGACUGCCGAGAACAAGACCGUAGAAACACAAAACGGGGACGCAGGCGUGUGUCCUCGCGCUCGCGUCGUUUAGUUAACAAAUACAAAACGGGAUUCAAGAUAAGAGAAGAAAAAUUUAAAAAAGAGAAGAACGGCAGAGGUGGCGAACAACGGACGAGAAAAAACAAGAAAUAAUGAAGUAAAUAAUAAAAAAAAAACACAAAGGCUCUCCUAGUUACUUGCUCAUUGAAAUAAUAUUCUAAAUAAACGUUCGUAACGGAACAGAAGUCUAGAUACGCAUCAGUAUAAUGAGAAAUAAUUUUACGUACAAAUAAGUAAGGAUCAACGCGCACGUGGACGCAGUCGCGCGCACGUGUAGCCCAGCCAUUUUAAUGCGGGACUCGGGGAAACUCGCACUUCCGACGAUCCAUAUCGAUCCCGAACACGCAAACAAUGGUGCUUGCUAGUCGCGUCGCGGUGUCGAGCAACAAAAAUUUGAUCGACCAUUCUCGAAGCGACAGAUAUUGUUACCAGAACGAAAAUAGAAUGGAAAUUGAAACAGAUGAUCCUCCUUCACCCUACUGUCCCUUUAAUCUUUGUAGAACACUCGUUAACGAUAUCGGCUGUCGGAAAAAGUUCCUACGGAUUUGCAUUAUACUUUCCUUGGAAGGAUACGGAUCGGUUAAUUCGUUCAUCUAGCUUUCUAUGAAAACGGAGCAGCCGAAGACGCUUUCUUGCCGUGCCUUUUAUUACAUUAGUGAGCACAUUCGUUACACACGUAGACUCGAAAAUGCUCUACUUAUAACGUAAAAGAAUCUUCAAACGAAAACAGCGCAUUGCUGCGUUCCCAAAUUUUCAUAUAGAGUACAAUGGCAUGCGUUCUCAGCUGUUCGUUCGCCGUCUUCGAACUUUGUACAAACACGGUGUAACACCAUCAUCGGUAACGAAAAACGCAAGCAUAGAGUAUCGAACGAACAUUCCAACGAUUAUCAUUGUUUCGGUGAAAUAUUACGAAAUGCUCUUCCGCGUCGCCGUGCGGGAAGAAUCGCGUGAACUUUUUCCGAUAUCCGAUAGAACAUAGUGGGGCCUCUUAUUUAAUUGGAGCACAGGUAAGACAGAUAAUUAAAACUCCAUCGAGAAAAAAAACGAAAUUACGUUUAUUUACGAGAUCGAUCGGAAACGCAAAUGGAAUUUCAAUUGAGCGAACAAAUGUACGGUGCCGGUAUGUUCUUGUUUUGUGAAAUGUGCGGAAGUGUAUUUACUUAGAAUUUGUGUCUCGGAUCCUGGUAAUGCCUGUUUCUACAUAUUCUACGCGUAACAAGAAAUAAACGCAACGACGAUAUUAAAUAUUUCGACCAAUUUGAAAUUUCGGACACUGUUCGCGAGAUUCGAAUGAAAGAGUAGUAGAGAUAUAGUUUAGAUUCUAUGGUGUGUCACACUGAGUUCUCGAGACAACCUCCGCCAAUAUCGAAAUUGAAAUUCAUUUGCAAAAAACGGAAAAUUAUUUUUGUAUGCUGUACAUAAUUGAUCGUAAUUACCGAAACGAUAGCGAGUAUACAAUUUUCUUUACGUGUAGUUGUAACGUCGGGUGCAGGUGUUAUUUAAGCAUUCAGUUCUGUUUAAGUCGAGAUGGCGUAUUAUUUCUGUACUAUUACGCGAUCGAGGGGAAAUAGUACUUUGUUGCUUGACAUAUUGCUGCUAAAUAUAUCGAUCUAAAGAAAUAUAUAAAUAACACUGAAUAUCUUGUACUCGGGUAAGUAAUAACACUAACAAUCAAAUCCCAAUUAAUCGAGGUCCCAUCGAAUGAUCAAACGAAAAUUGAUUUUAUGAAAUUGUACAAUCAUAUUUGUGCUCCGAGGUUCGAUAGAAACAAAAGCAAAAAAAAAGAAAGAAUCACGCGUAAUUCUGUGUCGAUUUACCGUACUUCCGUAAGUAAGUAUACGAGCGGAAUUGAAAAUGGCGCGAUGGCGUGCGUGUGCCUGUUCGGCCACGUGCGUUCACGAUGGAACACGAUUUCUAUUAUAUUUAAGCUCGAUCACUGUGAGCCGUACAAUUUACAGUGAGCAUGUAUAGCCUGUGAACAAUUACAAGCUUGUAAACCGAGAAACGACGGUACAUCACUAUCGUUAAAAUGGCGACGAAUAUGAAUAUACAUUGUUACGUAAACGAGUAUAAAGAGUCGUUGCAUCGUGUCUCGUAGCAUGAUCAAUUCACCUAAAUGAAAACUAUUACUACGUGAUACGCCAUUAUUAUGUAAAAGUUUUUAUUGUGUGAGUAAAAUUAUGUUCUGGACGAUAAAUGUGUAUAUUGUAAAUAAUAAAUCUCGUCCUUUUCUUCGUGCA
Non-coding RNA from Megalopta genalis, 4120 nucleotides. The record is from RefSeq and is a predicted model, not a curated record. NCBI's taxonomy places the organism in Eukaryota, Metazoa, Arthropoda, Insecta, Hymenoptera, Halictidae.